This 74-nucleotide transfer RNA is filed under the name Rhodoluna sp. KAS3. RNAcentral's name for it is "tRNA-Thr". It matches the Rfam family "tRNA". Rfam says of the family: Transfer RNA (tRNA) molecules are approximately 80 nucleotides in length. Their secondary structure includes four short double-helical elements and three loops (D, anti-codon, and T loops). Further hydrogen bonds mediate the characteristic L-shaped molecular structure. tRNAs have two regions of fundamental functional importance: the anti-codon, which is responsible for specific mRNA codon recognition, and the 3' end, to which the tRNAs corresponding amino acid is attached (by aminoacyl-tRNA synthetases). tRNAs cope with the degeneracy of the genetic code in two manners: having more than one tRNA (with a specific anti-codon) for a particular amino acid; and 'wobble' base-pairing, i.e. permitting non-standard base-pairing at the 3rd anti-codon position. The record is from RNAcentral. Lineage: Bacteria; Bacillati; Actinomycetota; Actinomycetes; Micrococcales; Microbacteriaceae.
GCCGACUUGGCGCAAUUGGUAGCGCACCUCACUUGUAAUGAGGUGGUUAGGGGUUCGAGUCCCCUAGUCGGCUC